Numida meleagris (helmeted guineafowl) is the source of this 3551-nucleotide RNA transcript. It is a transcript of the gene named pumilio RNA binding family member 3, with no coding region annotated. The record is from RefSeq and is a predicted model, not a curated record. The transcript has 19 exons. Lineage: Eukaryota; Metazoa; Chordata; Aves; Galliformes; Numididae.
UAAAAGGAGGCAAUAAAACAUCCCCACAAACUCUGAACAUGUGUGGGAAUAUCCUGACUGGAUUAGGUCAGCAACUAUCAACUACAGCCUAUUGUAAGGUACCUGAAGAACUUUAAAGAACUGUAAUUAUUUUGUAAAAAAGACAGAUGUUUGAAUGUGUAAACUGACUGACUUGAAGUCUCUGGCUGACAUUCAAAAUGUUCCCUUUCUUUAUUCUUUGGGAAGUGUUUGUAUUAUAGCAAUCAAGAUAAAUGCAGCAAUGUAUUUUCAAUCUUAUUUGUCUUAAUUCUUGAAAAGAAGCCAUCAAAAAAUUGAUAAUUUAACUCAUGUGGAAACCUGUGUGCGUGGGCUUUCUAAGAGUGAUGCAGAGCAUCUAGAAGCAUGCACUGUUCGCAUGUGACCCUGGGUUUGGGCCAGGCUUCAUGCCACACUCUCCAUUUUCAUGUUAUUUUUACGUGCAUGAUGUCAGUGUUCCGAGCUGUGGGAAAACAGCUGCAUAAUUCCACCUACGACUGUUCUUUUGUUCUGAAUUACUUUACAUGCUUUCCCAGAUAUUAAUAAAAGAGGUACCACUAUCACUGUCUGUACAGAAAAAAAAUCGUAGAAUUGCCAAGGUUGGAAAAGACCUCCACGAUCAUCCAGUCCAACCACUGACCUACCACCAGUAUUUCCCCACUAAACCAUGUCCCUUUGUAGCACAUCAGCUUAAUCCAUCAAACAGUUGAUGUGAUCUCCAGAUCACUUCUUCAGCUGAAUGCGUUACGGGAGGCGUUACCGACGUGUUCACCAGGCUCUGACUCCCCCUCACAACCACACAGGUGAGAUAAGCGCCGCUUUAAGAGCGCGGACCGGAGCCGGAGGACCCCGCGGAGUGCCGGGCACUACGCCGCACGGCCGGCAGAGCUGAGGCAACAGCGCCGCCUGCCGUUCUCCCGCACCGCUGCUAGUCCUCAUCGCCGUGUAGUAGCUUUAUGAGCCGGGAUCUCGAUAGCGCCGAGCACGAGGCGAGCUCGGACGGGACGUACGGGUCCGAGGGCAGCUGUCCGCGGGCGGGUGCGAAGGGCAGAGGGCGGUGGCAGCACAGCAGCGAGCAGACUGGCGUGCCGCCACUUCCGCGUGGCGCUUUACGACGGGGCGCCUCCUGUUUACGACACUGUCGCGCGACAUCGGCUGGGAGAGCCAAUAGGGGGGGCGCGCACUGCCUUACAGCACGGCCGCGGCGACAACGAGCGGCGCACGUGAAGUGAGCGGCCUCGGACGGGACAGGGAGGAGCCAGUAUUGUCACAAUGAAAGCCUGGAAUAGAAACAAGUUACCAGGAAAGAGCGGAAAAGCGUCUUGUGGAAAACAGCUGCAUGGAAAAAGAAGGUUUAAGAAAGAUGAUGAUUUGGUUCCUUCGAAGACUUUUCAUAGUAAAGGAGAUGAGGAGGAAAAACCUAAAUCCAUUUCCAAAAAGUUUGUGAAAGGAAAUGUGAGACCUGGAAGAGCUAGUGUCAAACAAUUCAAGAAUAAACAGCAGUCAGAAAAGCUUGCAAAGAAGAGGAAAUACCAGGAUGACAUGCAGGGAGAAUCAGAUUCUAAGAAGCCUAAAUGGAAUGACUUCAAAAGGAAAAAGAAGGAGUUAAAGCAAAGCAGACAACUUAAUGAUAAAAGUAAUUAUGACAUAAUUGUAAAAUCAAAGCAAAUAUGGGAGAGUGUGAGAAGAGAUAGAACUGAACUGAACUAUGGAAGUGCAGUUUCCUUAAGAUUGCUUUACUUCCCUUCUUGUAGGAAGAAAUGUGACAAGGAGAAGCGGGAAAAGCUGAUGAAUGAGCUACAAAAACUACUUCAUGGAAAAAUCAAAAAUCUAGCAUUUGCACAUGAUUCAACUCGAGUGAUCCAGUGCUUUAUUCAGUAUGGUAAUGACAAGCAAAGGCAAGAGACAUUUGAAGAGUUAAAAGAUAGCCUAGUGGAGUUGAGUAAGUCAAAAUAUUCCAGGAAUAUUGUGAAAAAGUUUCUUAUGUAUGGCACAAAACAACAAAUUGCUGAAAUAAUAAAAAGUUUUAAAGGUCACGUGAAAAAAAUGCUCCGUCAUGCUGAAGCAUCUGCUGUUGUGGAAUAUGCAUAUAAUGACAAAGCCAUUCUGGAACAAAGAAAUAUGCUGACAGAAGAACUAUAUGGAAAUACUUUUCAGGUUUACAAGACACCAGUUGUCCCAACACUGGAUAAAGUAUUAGAAGCUCAGCCUGAGAAGAGAGAGGCCAUCCUAGAUGAAAUGAAGCAGAUACUUGCACCAAUGGCACAAAAAGAGGCUGUGAUAAAACACUCACUGGUACAUAAAGUGUUUUUGGACUUUUUCGCUCAUGCUCUUCCAAAACAAAGAUCUGAAAUGAUAGAAGCUAUCAGAGAGGCUGUCAUCUACCUGGCACACACUCACGAUGGAGCCAGAGUAGCAAUGCACUGUUUAUGGCAUGGUACUCCCAAGGACAGAAAAGUUAUUGUGAAAACUAUGAAGACAUACAUUGAAAAAAUAGCAACGGGUGAAUUUUCUCAUUUGGUAUUGUUGGCAGCAUUUGAUUGCAUCGAUGACACUAAACUUGUGAAACAGUUGAUCAUAACUGAACUAAAUACUUCCUUGCCCAGUUUAAUUUCCAGUAAACAUGGAAAAAAGGUCUUGUUGUACUUGCUAAGUCCUAGAGACCCUGCACAUUUUGUUCCAGAAAUCAUCACACUUCUGCAACAGGGUGAUGGAAAUGCCUAUAGUAAGAAGAAUACUCAACUCCGCUGCCGUGAACUCCUGGAAGCCAUUUCCCCAUCAUUGCUAGAAUAUUUGCAAGAACAUACCCAAGAAGUAGUAAUGGACAAGGCUACGUUUGUCUUGGUUGCUGACAUCUUAAGAACAGCUACCGGUGAUAUUCAGCCCACACUAAAUGCAAUUGCUAAUUUAGCAGCAGAAGAGCUGGUUCCAGGUGGCCAUGAUGGGCAGCUUCACAUUGCAGAGCAUCCAGCAGGUCAUUUAGUGUUGAAAUGGUUAAUAGAGCAAGAUGAAAAAAUGAGAGAGAGUGGUAAAGACGGCUGCUUUGGAAGAACAUUGGUGGAAUGUGUUGGUAUUGAGAAAUUGAAGACCUGGGCAGAAGUAAAUCGAGGUGCCAUUGUUCUUUGUUGGUGGAUUCUGUGGGAGAAUUUGAAUACCAAGCGGAGAUGAUGGUUUGUACGGAAAGAGAAGCACUGGCAUGCACAUGAGGAAGUGGUCUCCCUCACCAACAAACCAAAGCUAUAAACCAGCAGAGCUUCGUGGAGGCACAGGCCUUCAGCGUACUCCGCGCCUCCAGCUGCAGCCGAGGAAGCUCACGCAGCGCGUCGUGCAUGCAGGGACCUGGCAGCCUUGGGCCUGAGGGCGGCAGCAGCGGACAAUUUUCCAGGCAGGGUCGGCGCUCCCCGGGAGCACUGCCCGCCCCACCGCUGCGGAGCGGCCGUCACAGCUUGAGUGUGAUGAAGGAAUGUACUUGAACUCCUAGAGCAUGCUGUGUCUGGUUUUUGUUUGUUUGUGUGUUUGUUUGUUGCUUGUGUCCU